Molecule: ribosomal RNA, 464 nt
Filed under: uncultured bacterium
Lineage: Bacteria
Description: partial 16S ribosomal RNA
Rfam family: Bacterial small subunit ribosomal RNA
Source: RNAcentral
GACGAACGCUGGCGGCGUGCUUAACACAUGCAAGUCGAACGGUAAGGCCCCAGCUUGCUGGGGUACACGAGUGGCGAACGGGUGAGUAACACGUGGGUGACCUGCCCCGCACUUCGGGAUAAGCCUGGGAAACUGGGUCUAAUACCGGAUAGGACCGCACCGUGAGGGUGUGGUGGAAAGUUUUUCGGUGUGGGAUGGGCCCGCGGCCUAUCAGCUUGUUGGUGGGGUAAUGGCCUACCAAGGCGGCGACGGGUAGCCGGCCUGAGAGGGUGGACGGCCACAUUGGGACUGAGACACGGCCCAGACUCCUACGGGAGGCAGCAGUGGGGAAUAUUGCACAAUGGGCGGAAGCCUGUUGCAGCGACGCCGCGUGGGGGAUGACGGCCUUCGGGUUGUAAACUCCUUUCACCAUCGACGAAGGUUUUCUGACGGUAGAUGGAGAAGAAGCACCGGCUAACUACGUG